RNAcentral lists this ribosomal RNA (248 nucleotides) under uncultured bacterium. Its description in RNAcentral is "partial 16S ribosomal RNA". It matches the Rfam family "Bacterial small subunit ribosomal RNA", at positions 523 to 769 of the family's 1533-position model. The record is from RNAcentral.
AUACGUAGGUGGCGAGCGUUGUCCGGAAUUACUGGGCGUAAAGGGCGCGUAGGCGGCUCUUUAAGUUAGAUGUAGAAAACCCAGGGCUUAACUCUGGGACUGCAUUUAAAACUGAAGGGCUCGAGUGCAGGAGAGGUAAGUGGAAUUCCUAGUGUAGCGGUGAAAUGCGUAGAUAUUAGGAGGAACACCAGUGGCGAAGGCGACUUACUGGACUGUAACUGACGCUGAGGCGCGAAAGCGUGGGGAGC